Molecule: ribosomal RNA, 884 nt
Filed under: uncultured Bacteroidota bacterium
Lineage: Bacteria; Pseudomonadati; Bacteroidota
Description: bacterial SSU rRNA
Rfam family: Bacterial small subunit ribosomal RNA
Source: RNAcentral
UUGAUCCUGGCUCAGGAUGAACGCUAGCGGCAGGCUUAACACAUGCAAGUCGAGGGGCAGCGCGGGGCAGCAAUGUUCUGGCGGCGACCGGCGGAAGGGUGCGUAACGCGUGAGCGACAUGCCCGUUGCCCGGGGACAACCGGUGGAAACGCCGACUAAUCCCCGAUGGGACGGAGGCCCUCAUGGGUCUCCGUUGAAAGUUACGGCGGCGACGGAUUGGCUCGCGUCCGAUUAGCUUGUUGGCGGGGUAACGGCCCACCAAGGCUACGAUCGGUAGGGGUUCUGAGAGGAAGGUCCCCCACAAUGGAACUGAGACACGGUCCAUACUCCUACGGGAGGCAGCAGUGAGGAAUAUUGGUCAAUGGGCGGAAGCCUGAACCAGCCAUGCCGCGUGCGGGAAGGAGGCCCUAUGGGCUGUGAACCGCUUUUGCCUGGGGGCAAUAAGGGCGUCGUGCACGUCCGAUGAGAGUACCAGGCGAAUAAGCAUCGGCUAACUCCGUGCCAGCAGCCGCGGUAAUACGGGGGAUGCGAGCGUUAUCCGGAUUCAUUGGGUUUAAAGGGUGCGUAGGCUGUGCGUCAAGUCAGGGGUGAAAUUCCGGGGCUCAACUCCGGGGCUGCCCUUGAUACUGUCGCGCUGGAGUGCGGAUGCCGCCGGAGGAAUGAGUGGUGUAGCGGUGAAAUGCUUAGAUAUCACUCAGAACACCGAUUGCGAAGGCAUCUGGCGAAUCCGUAACUGACGCUGAGGCACGAAAGCGUGGGGAUAGAACAGGAUUAGAUACCCUGGUAUUCCACGCCGUAAACGAUGAUGGCUAACCGCCGGCGACACACUGUCGGUGGCCAAGUGAAAGCGAUAAGCCAUCCACCUGGGGAGUACGUCGGCAACG